CUUGCAGAACAUCGCCAACAUUUAGUUAGCAUACAGAGACUUGUUGAUCAACUAAAGGAAGUCAUUCCAGCAAUGCAGAUGUCAAUUUCAGAUCUCACUGAAGAAGUAAACAAUAUUUCUUCAACCAUGGUAGAUGGGUUUAGUGUGCAAUCAAGCACAACUGUUCAGUGCCAAAGUGCUGGAAGACAGUUGGAAAGGUUGACUGAUGAAGUUGCUGAGAUGACUUGUAAAUUCUCCUCUGCUCAGAUUGAGAAAGUCUCCGGUAGUCCAACUUUGAAACUCCCUCAUUUAUUCAAUCUAACUCCAAAUUCAUCGGGGAAAGGCAACC
Long non-coding RNA from Musa acuminata AAA Group (dessert banana), 328 nucleotides. RefSeq lists it as uncharacterized. The transcript is spliced from 3 exons. The record is from RefSeq and is a predicted model, not a curated record. NCBI's taxonomy places the organism in Eukaryota, Viridiplantae, Streptophyta, Magnoliopsida, Zingiberales, Musaceae.